GUAAAACUCUGUUGUCAGAGAAGAACAAGUUGGAGAGUAACUGCUCCAGCCUUGACGGUAUCUGACCAGAAAGCCACGGCUAACUACGUGCCAGCAGCCGCGGUAAUACGUAGGUGGCAAGCGUUGUCCGGAUUUAUUGGGCGUAAAGCGAGCGCAGGCGGUUCCUUAAGUCUGAUGUGAAAGCCCACGGCUCAACCGUGGAAGGUCAUUGGAAACUGGGGAACUUGAGUGCAGAAGAGGAGAGUGGAAUUCCAUGUGUAGCGGUGAAAUGCGUAGAUAUAUGGAGGAACACCAGUGGCGAAGGCGACUCUCUGGUCUGUAACUGACGCUGAGGCUCGAAAGCGUGGGGAGCAAACAGGAUUAGAUACCCUGGUAGUCCACGCCGUAAACGAUGAGUGCUAAGUGUUGGAGGGUUUCCACCCUUCAGUGCUGCAGCUAACGCAUUAAGCACUCCGCCUGGGGAGUACGGCCGCAAGGCUGAAACUCAAAGGAAUUGACGG
This 500-nucleotide ribosomal RNA is filed under the name uncultured bacterium. RNAcentral's name for it is "bacterial SSU rRNA". It matches the Rfam family "Bacterial small subunit ribosomal RNA", at positions 425 to 916 of the family's 1533-position model. The record is from RNAcentral.